AUUUCUUUUAUAUUUAUAUAGUUUAAAAAACAUUACAUUUUCAUUGUAAAAUUAAAUAUUUAUUAUUUUAUAA
RNAcentral lists this transfer RNA (73 nucleotides) under Diatrichalus dilatatus. Its description in RNAcentral is "tRNA-Glu". Lineage: Eukaryota; Metazoa; Arthropoda; Insecta; Coleoptera; Lycidae. The record is from RNAcentral.